AGAGCUUUCGUUUGCUCUAAAUAAAACUUGAAUUGAUUUCAUUGCUUACAGGCCAACGUAUAUAUACAUAAGAAAACAAAAUGACAGCUAGCUAAAAGAUAACAAAUUCAGAUAAAACAAAAACAAUCACUAAAUCAUUGGCCAAUGAUAUAGAGCUUCUAGAAUCUUCAUCCAAUCAUCCCAUGUGCUGAUAUUCCUCUGUGUAACUGUUUUGCCACCUCAUUGAAUUCCUCUCAUUUCUUUCAUCAGCUGACUGUAAUUGUGAGUAGCUCAGGUGGCAUGCCACUGUGUCAUUGAGGUCAUCAGUUGACUGGCUGAGAUCAUGGCUGCCAUGGCUGCUAUUUUCAACACCCUCUCUCAAACACAAGGUUUUGUCAAACACCUUGAGUUUGCUUCUGAAGCAGCUAAAUUUGUAAUAAGGUAACGGCUUAGUUAGAACAUCAGUUAUUUGAUCCCUGCCUGCAACAAAACUGAUUUCCAUUUCACCUCUAGCUACCUUAUCCCUGAUAAAAUGUAGGUCUAUCUCAAAGUGUUUAGUCUUUGAAUGAAAAACAGGAUUGGUAGCCAUUGCUGCUGCACUUGUGCUAUCACUUAAGAUUGUUGGUGUUCUUUGCAUCUCUAGUUUCAGCUCACUUAGUAAGGAGCUAAUCCAUGUAAUUUCUGCAGCACAGAGGGCCAUUGCUCUGUAUUCUGAUUCAGUCGUAGAUCUAGCAACCAAACCUUGCUUUCUUGAACUCCAGGCAAUGAGAUUUCCACCCAGAAAUACACAAUAGCCACUGAUGGACCUCCUGUCAUCCAAAUCAUUUUCCCAGUCUGCAUCUGUGUAAGCCACCAAAUCAAAAUACUCUGACUUCUUGAAUUUCAGACACAUGUUCAUGGUGUUUUUAAGAUACCUCAAUACUCUUUUGCAUGCUAUCCAGUGAGGUUGCCUAGGAUCUGACAUGUAUUGGCUGAGCUUGUUCACUGAGUAAGCAAGCUCAGGCCUUGUGAGUGUUGCAUACUGCAGGCUGCCUAUAACACUUCGAUACAAUGUGGGAUCAUGAAACUUUUCUCCUUCAUUCUUCUUCAGCUUUUCUGUGGUACUGAAAGGUGAUUCAAUUCCUUUACAGUCACUCAUUUCUGUUUUGGCAAGCAAAUCUUGAAUAUACUUGGUUUGAGACAGCAAAAUGGCAUUUUGUUUUCUGUUUACCUGAAUCCCCAGAAAGAAGUUUAGCUCUCCCAAAUCCUUUAAGGCAAAGGUCCUAUUUAAGUUGCUAACCAGCUCUUCAAUACUACCACUAUUAUCACCAGUAAUAAUAAUGUCAUCAACAUAAAUAAGCAAUAUAACUAUCUCAGAUUUAGUUUUUCUGUAGAACAAUGAGGUAUCACACUUAGAAUUUUCAAAUCCCCAAGAGUUUAAGGCACCCUUCAGUUUGUCAAACCAUGCCCUGGGGGCUUGUCUCAAGCCAUACAGUGCUUUCUUUAAUCUGCAUAUGUGAUUUGGCUUGCUUUUGUUCACAAAACCUUCAGGUUGUGGCAUGUAAACCAUCUCUGUCAGCUCACCAUUCAAGAAGGCAUUGUUUAUAUCUACCUGCCUCAGCAACCAGUCAUUGUUCACUGCCAAAGUGAGGAUGAUUCUGAUUGUUACAGCCUUGACAACUAGGCUGAAAGUCUCUGUGAAAUCAAUGCCUGGAAUUUGCAAGAACCCCUUCACCACUAAUCUAGCCUUAUAUUUGUUUAUGGUUCCAUCUGGAUUUUCUUUAACUCUGUACACCCAUUUAUUUCCAAUUAGCUUGUGGCUUGAGUCAUUUGGUACCAAGGUCCAUGUUUCAUUUUUCAUCAAUGCAUUGUACUUAUCUUCCAUUGCCCUUUUCCAGCUUGGUUCUUUUAAAGCUUCUGAGGUGUUUGAGGGUAAUGCUAUGUGUGGUUGAGUAGUGAUUUGGUACAAUUUUGGUUUAAAGAUCCCUGCUUUAGAUUUUGUUACCAUAGGGUGUGAUGAUAUAACUUCUUUUGUGUUGGGUGCUGUGAUAGUGGAUGAAGGUUGGUCAUUUGCUUGAGGCUGGUGAUUUGAAUGAGGUGAGGAUAACUGAUUAUUUGAUAUCAUAUCAUUGCUUAAAUUCUGUUGUGUCUUACCUUGGUCAAGGUUCUGUGCUGAUAUUCCUCUGUGUAACUGUUUUGCCACCUCAUUGAAUUCCUCUCAUUUCUUUCAUCAGCUGACUGUAAUUGUGAGUAGCUCAGGUGGCAUGCCACUGUGUCAUUGAGGUCAUCAGUUGACUGGCUGAGAUCAUGGCUGC
RNAcentral lists this long non-coding RNA (2273 nucleotides) under Citrus sinensis (sweet orange). RNAcentral describes it as "long non-coding RNA (CSIN_LNC001632)". Lineage: Eukaryota; Viridiplantae; Streptophyta; Magnoliopsida; Sapindales; Rutaceae. The record is from RNAcentral.